UUGGUGUUGGCAGCAGGGAGGUGUUUUGUGAGAGAAAAUCUAGUUCUAGUUUAGACAUGUAAAGUUUGACAUCUUGGAGAGACAUCCAGUUGUAGCUGUUCACUAGUAGGUGGGUAACUGAAUAUAUCAGCUGGGAGCUCAGAGGUAAGGUGUUGCUCAGAUGGUGUUUCAGUCACUGAUGUCAAGUUGAGAGGAAUCAGAGUCAGAAACUCUGACUUAGUUCAGGAUAAAGGAGAAAGAGCCAACAAAAGAGUGUGGGAAAGAAUAGCUAGAAAGAGGAAAAAAUCCAGGGUAGAAUGAUAUUGGUGAAGCCAAGAGAGGAGAUUCUAUGAGGGAAAGAAGUCUACAAAGUGCUGGCGAGGGGACAAGUAUAUGAGGACUGGAUUUGGCCCAUGAGCAUUGCUGGUGAUCUUCAUGGAAACUCACAGCAAGAUUUGGGGCAGAAGCCAGAUUGGAUGCAUUAAAUUGGAUGCUACCAACAGAAAGCAAACAGCAAAAAGCAAAGGUGUUCAUUUUUGAAAUAGGACACCAAAUAGAGCAGGGACAACUGAGGAAGAAAUUCUGCUAAGAGAACUAGAAAUCAAGGACACUGAACAUCUAUGACCUCAUCAGCCUGGAGACAAUUAAUUUUAUUAUGGUUCCUUAUAUAACCUUCUGGAAAUACAAGCACUGUGUAAACUAAGACAAAUGAAGGAGCAAUGAGAGCUAUGGAUGGAGAGCAAGGACCCCCGGGACCUGACUGAAAAUGUGUUCCAAAUAUAAUUUGCACUGGCCCACUAACUGACAAGAAAUUCCUGGGAGCCAAUCUUUUCAGUUUGUGUGGAUGAGCAUUCUCUUUCAGCUGAUGAAACUAGAGAUGAAAAUGCCAAGGCUUUUGGAUUGAGCAAGGAUAAGUCCAGUUUAUGUCUGUAUAAUUGGAUGGAGACACAGAGUCACCUGUGGGAUUCUGGUACAGAGGACGUGUGCUUUGGAAUUACUGUCUACCCAGUUACAGAGUGCUGGUUCUGAAGCAAGGAGUUCUCUGCUUCUAUGACCCUGAUGAGAUCUUAUUUUGAAUUAGAGAAAUGGAACAUUUUCUAGUUCACUAUGGUGGUACAGAUGCUCAUCUAUUUUGAUCCACCAGAAAGAGAAGUUAUCGCUCAUUUUGCUCACCCUAAGGAGAACUGUCAGAAAUGAGUAAACAUAUAUUUUAUUUAAAAAGUUUCACAUCUUUUGGUGGGGAAAUGUUUUGGAAUUAUUUGAACACUGUUUUUAAUGCUUGAAGUGAUCUGUUCACUGCUGAGGUCACUCAUUUCAAUAUUGACCUUGAAACGUUUUCCAGAAAUGAUUAUAGCAUGGGUAUAAAUUGUGAUUUCUUAAUUUCUUUAAUAAUUUUUUCCUAUUAAUUAUUUUAAUGGAUCUAAGUGCAUUGCCAUUUAAUCAUUGCUAGCAAUGUUUUGCUAAUGUUUAUUUAAUAUCUACUGACAAGGGCAUAACAUUUCAUACUUAAUGCUAAUACUUUUAAGAAUUCUAGUAUUUAUAUAUAAAAUUGGAUUUUAAAAGAAUAGAUUCAGUGUUUUAAGAUAAUGAUUAAAUAACAAAAUGUAUAUUCAUAACAAAUUGGGCAUAUUAAGUAAAUGUCUGUUAACAUUAACAAGGUUAUAUCAAGAUACUAUUACUGAUAAUUCAUACUUAUUUUUGUUAGCUGUCAAACUUAAUAAGUUGCAGACAGGAAGAUAUGAUUCCUUUCUAUAAUAUAAUAAAGCAGACAGAGGAAUUAGGUUAUGAAAAGACAGGGAGAUGGUGAACAUCUAACCAAAUACAAUUGAGUUGAAAAUUUUUUUUUAUCCAUUUAAUUCUGUGGACCAUGUUCAUGGCAGCUUUGUGUAAACAGAAGGUCUUGGGCAGUUAAAGAAGGGAUUUGCAGAGGAACUGUGUUCUUAGAAAGGAUAUGAUAGGGAGGAAGUGAAGCUGACCUUAGGAUGUACAGGGGGCAAUUUUUCUAGGCACAGGGUAUAUCUGGAAUAAAAAUGAGUAACUAUACAAAUAGAAUAAUUAUAAAAUUUUUGAGAUUGAUCAUACCCUGAAGAUUUUAAUUUAGAGGUGAGGGUUCUGGUCCCAGAGAAGUUAAGCAACUUGCCUUUGGUCACAUGGCUAGUUAUUAGCAGAGCAACUACUAGAAAUACAGCUCCUGCACAGUUCAGUGGUUUUCCAUGACAUUUUGUGCCAGGGAAUAAUUCCAACAUGUUAAUUGUG
Molecule: long non-coding RNA, 2235 nt
Organism: Canis lupus familiaris (dog)
Lineage: Eukaryota; Metazoa; Chordata; Mammalia; Carnivora; Canidae
Exons: 4
Source: RefSeq, a predicted model, not a curated record